UGGAGAAACAUUCAAAGCGUACAGAAUUUGUUCAGACAAAGAAAUUUUGGAAAUCUACUAUAGUAUAGGGCAAUGGAGCAGCAUAUUGAGGAGAGUGCAAGCUCCGUGGCUGUGGGAGUGAUCAUUUAUUAAUAUGGGCUUGACUGUGGCCAGGAAAACACAUGUAAAUGGGCAUGUAUUUUGGGGGGCGGAAAUGAGAAGAAAGCUGAAAGGAAUAAGAAUGUAAAAGCAUGCAUCUAUUCAAGAAAAAAACAGGCGAGGGUGGAAAGAGCAGGAAGUGUAAAGCCCAGAGACAGAAGUAUACUUGGAAGAGCCAGCUUUGCCUGCUGUGGAUCAAGGAAGGAGGAAAACAUAGCCGUUUAAAUUACAUCCUCCAAGAUAACUCCAAACUUCCUGUCAAGAUGACCGGUUUUCACAAUAGAAGAAAAGGGAUCUCAAGUCACCAUUAAGGAAAAGGAUCUUUAUAUGAAUUCAUGAGCCUGAGCGCUGUGCUAGGAAAACUAGUUAAAAACCAAUACUGCAUGAUAUUAAACAGCUUGCUGAAGGUCUCAAGCUAGAAAUUCCAUGGCCUUUAGCCACCAACUAACGAAAGUAUUCAUAAAGUGUUUUCCAAUUCCCAAAUGACCUGGCUUCUUACAUAAAAACACCAAAAAAAAAAUGGAUUUAAUUCUAUGUGCAAAAGGAUUCGAGUACUGGAAUAGAAUACUGGUCAGAUCAAUAUUAUUUUUCAAGUUAAAAAAUAUUUACACUAAACUGAAAAGUCACCCUUAAUAGUCCACUUGAGAAAGGAAAGAGUCUGGUUUAGAUACUACAAAAAGCAACUGUCAUCAUCACUUCCUUUAUGCCAGCAAACUUGACUCCAUCUGUAGGUGAGAAAAAAUAUCUGGUUCAUCGCUCAUCCCCUACAUAUGCCAGGGUCAGUCCCACUCCUCUGGUUUCAACUCAAUUUUAUUUGUUGAUUUUGAGAAAAGUACUGAAUUUCUUCAUGUAAAUACUGUGCUAGGUGCUGAAGCAAACAAAGAUGAACUAGACAGGCUCUGAUAGGACAUAAUCUAUAAUUACAGUAAAAGCAGAAUCUGAAAAGUUCUAAUAGGUUUUGACUGCUUUCCUUCUCCAUAUGCAUAGUAAAUAACUGAUAUAAAGCAAGUGAUUCUAUGAACAGUUCACCAUUGACCAAAUAAGCUAUGAUCCUACUGAUUACCUAUGAUUCAUACUGUUACUUGACUUAGUAUGGUAACACCCUUCUCCAAUAGUGCAAUAUUCCAAACUCUGUAUGUCCUUCAAGAUUAAGUUGUACCUUCUCUUGACAUUAUUUCCUCAGUCACUAUCUAACUGAAUGAAAUAGAGAACUAUCUCUGAGUAA
Molecule: non-coding RNA, 1363 nt
Organism: Macaca mulatta (Rhesus monkey)
Lineage: Eukaryota; Metazoa; Chordata; Mammalia; Primates; Cercopithecidae
Source: RefSeq, a predicted model, not a curated record